AAACAUUAAAAUAAAAUAUAGACUAAAUUUGAGUUUGCGGGAAACUCUUUUCGUAUUAUUCCCUCUCUCGUAAGUGAAAACGCACGUCUCCACCUCACUUCAGUAUUUCAUUUCCCACGCUCUGGUUUCACACUUUGAGCCUAAGCGCCUUCUUCUUCCCAAAUUCCAGCGCCUUCUUCUGCCCAAAUUUCAUCACCUUCUUCAACUUUCUGCGUGCAUUCUUCUUCACAAAUUCUGGACUUGGCUGGUGUGCGUUGGAAACCCUAGGGCAAACGAAGUUCUUCGCGAUAAGGAGGUAGAGGGUUUCGAUGAAAUCGGUGACCACUGGAGCCAAACGAAGUUGUUCGUGGUGAGGAGGUAAAGUGUUUGCCAUUUGCGGUGAAACCUGAAGGUUUGUGAUUUCUUUGACUCGCUGUUUGUUUUUUUACCCAAAUUUUUUUUCUGCCUCUUUACCUAUUUGCAUACUUAGUUUUAGUCUUAAAUUUAUGAAUCAAUGUGCGUAUUCUGGAUGGGUGCCAAUUCUGUUUCUUAGGGUUUGUACUGGGCAUAUUAGGACCGUUAAAAUAGUGUUGAUUGUUUGUGCCUGGGAUGGAAUUGCUAGUGCCAAUCAUGCUCUUAAGGAAAGAGCAUUCUUAGUCAAUGAUUGUCUUGAGCUUCUACCUUUGCACUCAUCCCUUGUGAUGCCUUGUAUCAAUGAGCAACAGUUUGAAGGUACUUAAGGAACAAAAUGAUGCUAAACUUGGCUUGGCAGCGCUAUUAGUUAGAAAUUCAUAAAAGAGAUUAAGGUGUGAACGAGUGCAAAGGGACAUGUUAUAGCUUCCAAGACUUAUUGAUUUUUUCCUGAUUGAUUUUGGCAUGUGAAAUCUUCAAACCUUGGUAGGUGCCAUUGCUAUUGUUGCACAAUAAAAGUUGCAUAUUUGUGCCUAGCUACUGCAUAUUAGAUAGAAUCUGUUUUUGGGUAAUUUGUUUGUGAGAGAUUUUUAUUUGUAUCUUAGGUGGAAAAUCUGCACUUUGGCCUUUGUUAUUGGCUAAUGUAGAUUGACUUGAUUUUCUUUGUAAAAGGGUUAAGACACCCUUAAGUGUCUUAGAAACAGAAUACCAUUACCUGUUAAUAAUUAUUCACAAUCUACUACAUUCAAAGUUCACUUCAAUCAAGCAUAAGAAAUAGCAUGAUACGAAUUUGAAUAGUUCAGUGACAGGAACACAAACUUUAAUUUAUAAAACUGUGUAUAAAAUUAAGGACUUGUGUAUGGUUUUAAAUUGUGGUUGUAAUUUAGUCACAAAUCAUUAAUACGACAGCAAAUUGUGGAAAACAUUGUGGAUGAGGUCACAGUUACCGUCAGAAAAAUAGUUGCAGUAAAUUGAAAAUCUUUUACCUCAUAGUCAAAGUAAAGAUUUGGUUUGUUUCUAAUAAAGGUCGAUUUUGUGAUUCACACUGCAGAUAAAUAACUUCCAUUCUGUACAUUUUGAAUAUUUCUUUAAAUAAUGAUAAUAAAAAUAAAACUCCAAUUUGAUGGAAGAACAACAUCAACCACACAUAGGUUUUCUCCUACAAUGUAGUAAUGUAUUGUUUCACUCAUAAUUAUAGUUACAUGUUGAUAAGUAAGGUGUGGAUGUUGAGAAAGAUAGAUGAUAUAAGGAGCAAGCAGAGAUUUGAGAGCCUAGAUAUGCAUAAAUUACAUAUUAUGUAAUCUUGGUUGUAAAAACAAAUAUAUUUUGUCAUCUUAACUUGAUAAUAACCUUUUGUGAAUGUUAUUGUUUUAUCAAUUGAAUGGAACAACAUAUUCAUAAUAACUUAAGAAAUUACAAAGUUCAGCAAAUAAAUUGCUACAAUCUGUCCAAGUACAACUUGCAUUUUGGUUAAAUUUUGUCUUUAACUACCACUUAUGUGUUUGUUUAUCUUAAUUCACAGUUUUAAACCAGUGGAAAGGGCCAAUUCAAAUAAUUCAUAUAUAGUUGUAGUUGGUAAGAAGGUGAGAAAUAGGUAUAUUUUCAACAGCCAAGGUUUCUACACAAGAAAAUGCAAGUUGGGAGGUGAAACUUCAAUUCCAAAUCCAUUAAGGUUCAAACUAUUACAUUUAUUAUGUUUUUAUUUAUUUAUUUAAAAAAUGUUACAUGUAGAAAACUCCAUUUUUGAAGCAUUGUAUAUACCUUGUAAGUGUGUCUGCAUAUAUGCAAUGUUGCAUAACUGUAUCUCCUGAAACCACAUAGCAAAAUCUAAAACCAUAUAGGCAUAUGCUAAUGCUCUAAAAGAGACAAUGGGUAAAAUAAUGAAUAGUAUGAGUGGGAUGAGAGGUUAUGAUUAAGUGAAGGAAAGGUCCAAGGUGUGUGGAUAGGGAAGUUAGGUCACGUGUAUCCUUACAAAACUUUUCUAAGACAGCAACUGGUUUUCUUAAAAAUAAAAUUGUACUCAUCACUAACCCCAUAGGCAAAGACUAUAUUCUUACAAAACUUUUCUAAGACAAAAACUGCACACAAAUUCAUAAGGGCUCUAUCAUCAUUUGGCUUCACAAAUUCAUGUAUAUAUAUGUAUGUAUAUAUAUAUAUAUUAAUUAUAUGUGUAUUCAUGGUGGCGUCUCGUGAGGUGCUUUGCCUUUAAGGGGACUAGUGUGUCACAUCCCACAUGAUGGCCUAAUGCCAAAAUCUAGUUAUAUAUUUAUGCAGGAACCAAACUCUAAGACCAAUCAUUAUUGAUCUUUCCCUUGACUUGUGGUUGAAAUAUGAGUUAGCAUUGACCACUCAAAUUUGAUGAUUCCCUUUUAAUUUUAAAUUGUUUACUGGUAUGUCUCAGUCUACUUCAUUCACAUAAAUAAUAACAUUUCAUCUUAUAUGAAUUAAAUUUUAUUUUACUUUUUGUGAUUUUUUCCAUUUUUCAAAUGCAGAUAUUUCUUUGAGGUUUGAAAGUAGAGUGCAGGUACAAUUCUGUUUAUUGCAAUUUAUUUUAUUGCAAUUUUGGUCUCCAUUUUAUUCAUUUGUAUGUGAUCUUGGUCUGUGUUUCUUUUAUUAUUUUAGUCUUUAAUUUUUUUUAUGAAUUUCGUCUUAAUUUUGCAUAAUUUUUUGGUUAGUACUCUUUGGAUGAUUGUCAAAGUUGAACUUGCAGUUUUGGGCCAAAAGUGAAGUUGGACUUACAUAUUGCAGAGGAGAGAUUUCUUUUUGCACUCUUAUGCUUUCCUCCUAUACUCCAGAGGGAUUUCUUUUUGCACUCCUAUGCUUUCCUCCUACAUCAAAGUGUAAUGGAUUUGAUUAAGACAUGUUAUUAAUUAUUUAUACAAUUAUAUUUUGGUAGUUGUUUUAUUUAUUUUGUUUGAAUUAGAUUUAAUUAGUAUAUAUUUAUGUAUUUUUUGCGGCUUGAAGGCAAUGAAGACUACGAAGACAAUCUUGAAGAAGAAUGAACUUAUUGAUAUGUAGUAAAUAAACAAUAGACUAUGUUUUUUAACUAUGUUAGUUGUUUUAACUUUGAAGACAUGAUUAUUAUCAAUAUACUUUAAGAAAGUUUUUGAUUAUGUAGUUGGAACACAUCUAUUUAAAUAUAUGGG
This 3536-nucleotide long non-coding RNA is filed under the name Phaseolus vulgaris (common bean). RNAcentral's name for it is "long non-coding RNA (PVUL_LNC004407)". The record is from RNAcentral. Lineage: Eukaryota; Viridiplantae; Streptophyta; Magnoliopsida; Fabales; Fabaceae.